CCUACGGGCGACAGCAGUGGGGAAUAUUGCGCAAUGGGCGAAAGCCUGACGCAGCGACGCCGCGUGAGGGAUGAAGGUCUUCGGAUCGUAAACCUCUGUCAGCAGGGAAGAACGGUCACGGUGCUAAGCAGCAGUGAAUUGACGGUACCUGCAAAGGAAGCACCGGCUAACUCCGUGCCAGCAGCCGCGGUAAUACGGAGGGUGCGAGCGUUAAUCGGAAUUACUGGGCGUAAAGCGCUCGUAGGCGGUAUGUCAAGUCAAGGGUGAAAUCCCCGCGCUCAACGUGGGAACGGCCUUUGAAACUUGCAACCUGGAGUGUGUGUGAGUAUAGUGGACUUCCAGUUGUAGGCGU
Molecule: ribosomal RNA, 352 nt
Filed under: uncultured bacterium
Lineage: Bacteria
Description: partial 16S ribosomal RNA
Rfam family: Bacterial small subunit ribosomal RNA
Source: RNAcentral